RNAcentral lists this ribosomal RNA (704 nucleotides) under uncultured bacterium. Its description in RNAcentral is "bacterial SSU rRNA". It matches the Rfam family "Bacterial small subunit ribosomal RNA", at positions 104 to 805 of the family's 1533-position model. The record is from RNAcentral.
GGGUGAGUAACACGUAUGGAACCUGCCCGUAGCAGGGGGAUAAGCGGAAGAAAUUCCGUCUAAUACCGCGUAAUAACUCCGAGGGGCAUCUCUUGGGGUUUAAAGGGUAACACCGGCUACGGAUGGCCAUGCGGCGCAUUAGCUAGUUGGCGGGGUAACGGCCCACCAAGGCGACGAUGCGUAGGGGUUCUGAGAGGAAGGUCCCCCACACUGGUACUGAGACACGGACCAGACUCCUACGGGAGGCAGCAGUGAGGAAUAUUGGUCAAUGGGCGCGAGCCUGAACCAGCCAAGUCGCGUGAGGGAAGACGGUCCUAUGGAUUGUAAACCUCUUUUGUCGGGGAGCAAAAGACGCCACGCGUGGCGUUCCGAGAGUACCCGAAGAAAAAGCAUCGGCUAACUCCGUGCCAGCAGCCGCGGUAAUACGGAGGAUGCGAGCGUUAUCCAGAUUUAUUGGGUUUAAAGGGUGCGCAGGCGGAAGAUCAAGUCAGCGGUAAAAUUGAGAGGCUCAACCUCUUCGAGCCGUUGAAACUGGUUUUCUUGAGUGAGCGAGAAGUAUGCGGAAUGCGUGGUGUAGCGGUGAAAUGCAUAGAUAUCACGCAGAACUCCGAUUGCGAAGGCAGCAUACCGGCGCUCAACUGACGCUCAUGCACGAAAGUGUGGGUAUCGAACAGGAUUAGAUACCCUGGUAGUCCACACAGUAA